AUUGAACGCUGGCGGCAUGCUUUACACAUGCAAGUCGAACGGUAACAGGCCGCAAGGUUCUGACGAGUGGCGAACGGGUGAGUAAUGCAUCGGAACGUGCCCAGUCGUGGGGGAUAACUACUCGAAAGAGUAGCUAAUACCGCAUACGAUCUAUGGAUGAAAGCGGGGGACCGUAAGGCCUCGCGCGAUUGGAGCGGCCGAUGUCAGAUUAGGUAGUUGGUGGGGUAAAGGCUAACCAAGCCAACGAUCUGUAGCUGGUCUGAGAGGACGACCAGCCACACUGGGACUGAGACACGGCCCAGACUCCUACGGGAGGCAGCAGUGGGGAAUUUUGGACAAUGGGCGCAAGCCUGAUCCAGCAAUGCCGCGUGCAGGAAGAAGGCCUUCGGGUUGUAAACUGCUUUUGUACGGAACGAAACGGCUCUGGUUAAUACCCGGGGCUAAUGACGGUACCGUAAGAAUAAGCACCGGCUAACUACGUG
This 482-nucleotide ribosomal RNA is filed under the name uncultured bacterium. RNAcentral describes it as "partial 16S ribosomal RNA". It matches the Rfam family "Bacterial small subunit ribosomal RNA", at positions 30 to 507 of the family's 1533-position model. The record is from RNAcentral.